RNAcentral lists this non-coding RNA (24 nucleotides) under Arabidopsis thaliana (thale cress). Lineage: Eukaryota; Viridiplantae; Streptophyta; Magnoliopsida; Brassicales; Brassicaceae. The record is from RNAcentral.
UAGUGAAGAUGGUGUCUUCUCCAC